Molecule: ribosomal RNA, 854 nt
Filed under: Lactiplantibacillus plantarum
Lineage: Bacteria; Bacillati; Bacillota; Bacilli; Lactobacillales; Lactobacillaceae
Description: bacterial SSU rRNA
Rfam family: Bacterial small subunit ribosomal RNA
Source: RNAcentral
GUAACACGUGGGAAACCUGCCCAGAAGCGGGGGAUAACACCUGGAAACAGAUGCUAAUACCGCAUAACAACUUGGACCGCAUGGUCCGAGCUUGAAAGAUGGCUUCGGCUAUCACUUUUGGAUGGUCCCGCGGCGUAUUAGCUAGAUGGUGGGGUAACGGCUCACCAUGGCAAUGAUACGUAGCCGACCUGAGAGGGUAAUCGGCCACAUUGGGACUGAGACACGGCCCAAACUCCUACGGGAGGCAGCAGUAGGGAAUCUUCCACAAUGGACGAAAGUCUGAUGGAGCAACGCCGCGUGAGUGAAGAAGGGUUUCGGCUCGUAAAACUCUGUUGUUAAAGAAGAACAUAUCUGAGAGUAACUGUUCAGGUAUUGACGGUAGGUCUUGACAUACUAUGCAAAUCUAAGAGAUUAGACGUUCCCUUCGGGGACAUGGAUACAGGUGGUGCAUGGUUGUCGUCAGCUCGUGUCGUGAGAUGUUGGGUUAAGUCCCGCAACGAGCGCAACCCUUAUUAUCAGUUGCCAGCAUUAAGUUGGGCACUCUGGUGAGACUGCCGGUGACAAACCGGAGGAAGGUGGGGAUGACGUCAAAUCAUCAUGCCCCUUAUGACCUGGGCUACACACGUGCUACAAUGGAUGGUACAACGAGUUGCGAACUCGCGAGAGUAAGCUAAUCUCUUAAAGCCAUUCUCAGUUCGGAUUGUAGGCUGCAACUCGCCUACAUGAAGUCGGAAUCGCUAGUAAUCGCGGAUCAGCAUGCCGCGGUGAAUACGUUCCCGGGCCUUGUACACACCGCCCGUCACACCAUGAGAGUUUGUAAUACCCAAAGUCGGUGGGGUAACCUUUUAGGAACC